This is a non-coding RNA of Crassisporium funariophilum, 93 nucleotides long. NCBI's taxonomy places the organism in Eukaryota, Fungi, Basidiomycota, Agaricomycetes, Agaricales, Crassisporiaceae. The record is from the annotation of a GenBank genome assembly.
GGUGCUAUAGUGUAGUGGUUAUCACUCGGGAUUUUGAAGUGCUGUACUGCACGGAACUUUCCCGUAACCCCAGUUCGAACCUGGGUAGCACCU